GGAUGGUCCAAUGGUAGUGGGUUAUCAGUACUAACAUUAGUGUCACUAAAAUUGUAUACAACCCCCACUGCUAAAUUUGACAGGCUUAAA
RNAcentral lists this Y RNA (90 nucleotides) under Jaculus jaculus (lesser Egyptian jerboa). RNAcentral describes it as "Y RNA (ENSJJAG00000006804.1)". It matches the Rfam family "Y RNA". Rfam says of the family: Y RNAs are components of the Ro ribonucleoprotein particle (Ro RNP), in association with Ro60 and La proteins. The Y RNAs and Ro60 and La proteins are well conserved, but the function of the Ro RNP is not known. In humans the RNA component can be one of four small RNAs -- hY1, hY3, hY4 and hY5. Lineage: Eukaryota; Metazoa; Chordata; Mammalia; Rodentia; Dipodidae. The record is from Rfam by way of RNAcentral.